RNAcentral lists this unclassified non-coding RNA (309 nucleotides) under Hevea brasiliensis (rubber tree). Lineage: Eukaryota; Viridiplantae; Streptophyta; Magnoliopsida; Malpighiales; Euphorbiaceae. The record is from RNAcentral.
UAAUGAAGCCUAUGAUGUAUGUAUUCAUCUCCAUCUCUGUUCCUGCUAAAGCUUUUGGCUACAAUUUUUCAAUGCUGAUUUUUUCAGAAUUUUUCUUUUAGGAAUUCAAAGAAUCCAGAUACAUGCAAUUAAACUAUAAGCAAAUCAUUAGAUAAAAUGAAAUUUUUAAUAGGCGAAAUUGUUGGAAAUUUUGAAUAAUUGAUAUCUUCUGCACAAGAAGACAAAGUCUGCCAUGCAUCAGGAGGAGUGUAGAUGGUGUUCAAAUCUUACAGAUGACAACUCCUUCCCAAUAUUAGGGCAAAAUUAAAA